UGCUGUGACAGAAGAUGAUCAAAUAAUGCAUAUCUUGGCUGGACUCGGUGCAGAGUAUGAUUCAGUUAUGGUUACUAUUACAUCCAAACCAGAGGCCUGGACUCUUGGUGAUGUGAGUUCUUUACUUCUGAGCUUUGAAA
Small nucleolar RNA from Salvia miltiorrhiza (redroot sage), 140 nucleotides. RefSeq annotates it as small nucleolar RNA Z247. NCBI's taxonomy places the organism in Eukaryota, Viridiplantae, Streptophyta, Magnoliopsida, Lamiales, Lamiaceae. The transcript has a single exon. The record is from RefSeq and is a predicted model, not a curated record.